This 2300-nucleotide ribosomal RNA is filed under the name Escherichia coli. RNAcentral describes it as "partial 23S ribosomal RNA". It matches the Rfam family "Bacterial large subunit ribosomal RNA", at positions 644 to 2925 of the family's 2925-position model. The record is from RNAcentral. Lineage: Bacteria; Pseudomonadati; Pseudomonadota; Gammaproteobacteria; Enterobacterales; Enterobacteriaceae.
GGUUAACCGAAUAGGGGAGCCGAAGGGAAACCGAGUCUUAACUGGGCGUUAAGUUGCAGGGUAUAGACCCGAAACCCGGUGAUCUAGCCAUGGGCAGGUUGAAGGUUGGGUAACACUAACUGGAGGACCGAACCGACUAAUGUUGAAAAAUUAGCGGAUGACUUGUGGCUGGGGGUGAAAGGCCAAUCAAACCGGGAGAUAGCUGGUUCUCCCCGAAAGCUAUUUAGGUAGCGCCUCGUGAAUUCAUCUCCGGGGGUAGAGCACUGUUUCGGCAAGGGGGUCAUCCCGACUUACCAACCCGAUGCAAACUGCGAAUACCGGAGAAUGUUAUCACGGGAGACACACGGCGGGUGCUAACGUCCGUCGUGAAGAGGGAAACAACCCAGACCGCCAGCUAAGGUCCCAAAGUCAUGGUUAAGUGGGAAACGAUGUGGGAAGGCCCAGACAGCCAGGAUGUUGGCUUAGAAGCAGCCAUCAUUUAAAGAAAGCGUAAUAGCUCACUGGUCGAGUCGGCCUGCGCGGAAGAUGUAACGGGGCUAAACCAUGCACCGAAGCUGCGGCAGCGACACUAUGUGUUGUUGGGUAGGGGAGCGUUCUGUAAGCCUGUGAAGGUGUACUGUGAGGUAUGCUGGAGGUAUCAGAAGUGCGAAUGCUGACAUAAGUAACGAUAAAGCGGGUGAAAAGCCCGCUCGCCGGAAGACCAAGGGUUCCUGUCCAACGUUAAUCGGGGCAGGGUGAGUCGACCCCUAAGGCGAGGCCGAAAGGCGUAGUCGAUGGGAAACAGGUUAAUAUUCCUGUACUUGGUGUUACUGCGAAGGGGGGACGGAGAAGGCUAUGUUGGCCGGGCGACGGUUGUCCCGGUUUAAGCGUGUAGGCUGGUUUUCCAGGCAAAUCCGGAAAAUCAAGGCUGAGGCGUGAUGACGAGGCACUACGGUGCUGAAGCAACAAAUGCCCUGCUUCCAGGAAAAGCCUCUAAGCAUCAGGUAACAUCAAAUCGUACCCCAAACCGACACAGGUGGUCAGGUAGAGAAUACCAAGGCGCUUGAGAGAACUCGGGUGAAGGAACUAGGCAAAAUGGUGCCGUAACUUCGGGAGAAGGCACGCUGAUAUGUAGGUGAAGUCCCUCGCGGAUGGAGCUGAAAUCAGUCGAAGAUACCAGCUGGCUGCAACUGUUUAUUAAAAACACAGCACUGUGCAAACACGAAAGUGGACGUAUACGGUGUGACGCCUGCCCGGUGCCGGAAGGUUAAUUGAUGGGGUCAGCGCAAGCGAAGCUCUUGAUCGAAGCCCCGGUAAACGGCGGCCGUAACUAUAACGGUCCUAAGGUAGCGAAAUUCCUUGUCGGGUAAGUUCCGACCUGCACGAAUGGCGUAAUGAUGGCCAGGCUGUCUCCACCCGAGACUCAGUGAAAUUGAACUCGCUGUGAAGAUGCAGUGUACCCGCGGCAAGACGGAAAGACCCCGUGAACCUUUACUAUAGCUUGACACUGAACAUUGAGCCUUGAUGUGUAGGAUAGGUGGGAGGCUUAGAAGUGUGGACGCCAGUCUGCAUGGAGCCGACCUUGAAAUACCACCCUUUAAUGUUUGAUGUUCUAACGUUGACCCGUGAUCCGGGUUGCGGACAGUGUCUGGUGGGUAGUUUGACUGGGGCGGUCUCCUCCUAAAGAGUAACGGAGGAGCACGAAGGUUGGCUAAUCCUGGUCGGACAUCAGGAGGUUAGUGCAAUGGCAUAAGCCAGCUUGACUGCGAGCGUGACGGCGCGAGCAGGUGCGAAAGCAGGUCAUAGUGAUCCGGUGGUUCUGAAUGGAAGGGCCAUCGCUCAACGGAUAAAAGGUACUCCGGGGAUAACAGGCUGAUACCGCCCAAGAGUUCAUAUCGACGGCGGUGUUUGGCACCUCGAUGUCGGCUCAUCACAUCCUGGGGCUGAAGUAGGUCCCAAGGGUAUGGCUGUUCGCCAUUUAAAGUGGUACGCGAGCUGGGUUUAGAACGUCGUGAGACAGUUCGGUCCCUAUCUGCCGUGGGCGCUGGAGAACUGAGGGGGGCUGCUCCUAGUACGAGAGGACCGGAGUGGACGCAUCACUGGUGUUCGGGUUGUCAUGCCAAUGGCACUGCCCGGUAGCUAAAUGCGGAAGAGAUAAGUGCUGAAAGCAUCUAAGCACGAAACUUGCCCCGAGAUGAGUUCUCCCUGACCCUUUAAGGGUCCUGAAGGAACGUUGAAGACGACGACGUUGAUAGGCCGGGUGUGUAAGCGCAGCGAUGCGUUGAGCUAACCGGUACUAAUGAACCGUGAGGCUUAACCUU